UACGUAGGUGGCAAGCGUUGUCCGGAAUCACUGGGCGUAAAGCGCGCGCAGGCGGCGAUCUACGUCUGGGGUGAAAGCCCGGAGCUCAACUCCGGGACUGCCUUGGAUACGGGAUCGCUUGAGGAUUGGAGAGGCAAGGGGAAUUCCACGUGUAGCGGUGAAAUGCGUAGAGAUGUGGAGGAACACCUGUGGCGAAGGCGCCUUGCUGGCCAAUUUCUGACGCUGAGGCGCGAAAGCGUGGGGAGCAAACAGG
This 253-nucleotide ribosomal RNA is filed under the name uncultured bacterium. RNAcentral's name for it is "partial 16S ribosomal RNA". It matches the Rfam family "Bacterial small subunit ribosomal RNA", at positions 524 to 776 of the family's 1533-position model. The record is from RNAcentral.